GGAGAGAUGGCCGAGUGGCUGAAGGCACCGGUUUGCUAAACCGGCGUAUGGGGGAUUCCCUGUACCGAGGGUUCGAAUCCCUCUCUCUCCGCCA
This 94-nucleotide transfer RNA is filed under the name Myxococcales bacterium. RNAcentral describes it as "tRNA-Ser". It matches the Rfam family "tRNA". From Rfam's summary of the family: Transfer RNA (tRNA) molecules are approximately 80 nucleotides in length. Their secondary structure includes four short double-helical elements and three loops (D, anti-codon, and T loops). Further hydrogen bonds mediate the characteristic L-shaped molecular structure. tRNAs have two regions of fundamental functional importance: the anti-codon, which is responsible for specific mRNA codon recognition, and the 3' end, to which the tRNAs corresponding amino acid is attached (by aminoacyl-tRNA synthetases). tRNAs cope with the degeneracy of the genetic code in two manners: having more than one tRNA (with a specific anti-codon) for a particular amino acid; and 'wobble' base-pairing, i.e. permitting non-standard base-pairing at the 3rd anti-codon position. Lineage: Bacteria; Pseudomonadati; Myxococcota; Myxococcia; Myxococcales. The record is from RNAcentral. RNAcentral also lists the same sequence under 1 other name.